Molecule: ribosomal RNA, 253 nt
Filed under: uncultured bacterium
Lineage: Bacteria
Description: partial 16S ribosomal RNA
Rfam family: Bacterial small subunit ribosomal RNA
Source: RNAcentral
UACGUAGGGUCCGAGCGUUAUCCGGAGUUACUGGGCGUAAAGGGCGUGUAGGCGGAUCGGUAAGUCUACUCUGAAAGCUCCUGGCUAAACUGGGAGAGGCGAGUGGAGACUGUCGGUCUAGAGUGAGGAAGAGGAAAGUGGAAUUCCGCGUGUAGUGGUGAAAUGCGUAGAGAUCCGGAGGAACACCAGUGGCGAAGGCGACACGCUGGGCCGUACCUGACACUAAUACGCGACAGCAUGGGGAGCGAACGGG